RNAcentral lists this ribosomal RNA (353 nucleotides) under Deinopteroloma subcostatum. Its description in RNAcentral is "partial 12S ribosomal RNA". The record is from RNAcentral. Lineage: Eukaryota; Metazoa; Arthropoda; Insecta; Coleoptera; Staphylinidae.
UUUAAAUGUAAAUAAAAAUUCUAAAUUAGUAUUAGUUAUAUUCUUGAAAGUUAAAGAUUUUGGCGGUAUUUUAGUCUUUUCAGAGGAACCUGUUCUAUAAUCGAUAAUCCACGAUUAAUUUUACUUAUAUUUUUAGUUUGUAUAUCGUCGUAGUUUGAAUAUUUUAUAAGAAUAUAAAUGUUCAUAAUUUUUUAUAAAAAAAGAAAUCAGAUCAAGGUGCAGUUUAUAUAUAAGCAGUAAUGGGUUACAAUAAAGGUAUUUAAAUGGUGUAGAGUUUGAAAAUAAUUCUAUUAAAGUGGAUUUGAAAGUAAUAAAAUUUAUUUAAAUUUUAUGAUUUAAGCUCUAAAAUAUGC